ACAUGUAUUGAUGAAAACAUAAUAGGUUCAGAUAUGAAAUCAUGGCACUCGGGCCCUAGUGACAAGCAUUAAGCAUAGCAAAGUAGUAGCAACAUCAAUCUUAGAACAUAGUGGAUACUAGGGAUCAAAGCCCAUCAAAACUAACUCGAUUAGAUGACAGAUCUCAUCCAAUCCAUCACCGUCCAGCAAGCCUACGAUAAGAUUACUCACGAACGAUGGAUAGCAUCAUGGAAUUGGCAAUGGAGGAUGGUUGAUGAUGACGACG
RNAcentral lists this long non-coding RNA (265 nucleotides) under Hordeum vulgare. Its description in RNAcentral is "long non-coding RNA (HVUL_LNC017625)". Lineage: Eukaryota; Viridiplantae; Streptophyta; Magnoliopsida; Poales; Poaceae. The record is from RNAcentral.